AGUAGAGCCAACAGAAUGUCGUAAGACUGACACGGACAUGGAUCGAGAACCUAGCAACGGACAUAUACAGAAAAGGGGAUGCUACACGAAAGAAGAAAUCGUAAGCUAUUGUAAAAGGUAUGAAAACGUAUGUCACAAAACUGGAUGGUGGAUGAAAAAGUGUAAAGUAUAUAGAACCCAAUGUGCGG
Long non-coding RNA from Ruditapes philippinarum (Manila clam), 188 nucleotides. RefSeq lists it as uncharacterized. Lineage: Eukaryota; Metazoa; Mollusca; Bivalvia; Venerida; Veneridae. The record is from RefSeq and is a predicted model, not a curated record. The transcript has 2 exons.